AUGCUCGCCCUCUUGCUCCUCCUCGUUUCCGCCAGCUCGUUGCCAGCGCCGGCGUCCGGCGAUGAAGGAGCCGUGCCGGUGAUCAACGCUUUCUCCCACUUCUGCGGCCCCACGAGCGAUGCCGAUGGACUCUACCAGCCCAGCAGCACCUUCGCGGCCAACCUCGCCAGCAUGUCCGCGGUGCUCCCCAAGAACGCAUCGGCCUCCGGCUUCUCCGCUGGCGCGUUCGGCCGGGCGCCGGACACGGCGUACGGCUUGGCGCUCUGCCGCUGGGACUACACCGGCGACGACUGCGGCGCGUGCCUCUCCAGGGCGUUCAAGGACGCGGUGAACCUCUGCGGCCGCAGCAAGGACGUCACCGUCUAUCACGACCAGUGCCAUAUCCGGUUCCACAGCCAGGACUUCCUCGCCGGCGCCGUGAACUCGCCCGAGAGCGUAGCGUCGAACAUGAACAACGUUUCCAGAGGGAACGUCGCCGCGUUCGACGGCCUGGUCACGAGGCUGGCCAACGCGGUGGCGGACAGGGCCAGCAACGUGAGCGGCAGGUACGCCACGGGCCAGGCCGGCUUCCCGCCGGACAAGAUCAACGUGUACGGCCUGGCGCAGUGCACGCCGGACCUCACGACGGCUCAGUGCCGGGCCUGCCUCGCCGGCAUCAUCAAACAGAUGCCCAAGUUCUUGAGCGGGAGGGUGGGCGGGAGGAUUCUUGGGGUGCGCUGCGCCGUCAGGUACGAGAAGGAUAUCUUCUUCGCGACCACCGGCGACAUGGUGACGCUCACGCCCCUGCUGGAUCCGUCCAAAGGGAGCAGCAACACGCACACGCUUUGGAUCGUCGCGAUAGCAGUCCCCGUAACCGUGCUCCUCUGCGGCUUCUUGGCAUGUUUCAUGUGGGUGAGAAGGCGAAGAAGAGGGACGGUGAACAUACCAACCAUGUCCAUGGAGAUGGAGCAGGUGCUGAAGCUAUGGAAAAUCGAAGAGAGCGACUCUGAGUUCUCGCUCUACGAUUUCGACCAGAUCGCAGACGCCACCAGAAACUUCUCCGACGACUACAAGCUCGGUCAGGGCGGCUUUGGCGCUGUUUACAGGGGUGAACUGCCUGGCGGGCUUGAGGUCGCAAUCAAGAGGCUCUCUACCUGCUCCGUGCAGGGGUUGAUGGAAUUCAAGACCGAGAUCCAGCUGAUCGCCAAGCUUCAGCACACCAACCUUGUCAGGCUCUUGGGCUGCUGCCUCCAGGCCGAGGAGAAGAUGCUCAUAUACGAGUACAUGCACAACAAAAGCUUGGAUUGCUUCAUCUUCGGUACAAGCACAACAAGAGAGACCGAGAGAGUCUCGCAUGCACGCAUCUCCUUCUGCCAGAUCUCAUUCGCUUACCCGUCUCGUUGCAAUUUUUUCUGUACAGAUAGUGCGAAAGGGGCUAUACUGAAAUGGGAGCGGCGCUUCCGAAUAAUCGAUGGGAUCGCCCAGGGGCUUCUUUACAUGCACAAGCAUUCCCGCUUGCGAGUUAUACACAGGGAUCUAAAAGCGAGCAACAUCCUCUUGGAUCGCGACAUGAACCCCAAGAUCUCGGACUUCGGUUUGGCGAGGAUAUUCUGCUCCAAUGUCACGGAGGCCAACACGACCAGGGUCGUCGGCACGCACGGUUACAUCGCUCCAGAGUAUGCUUCAGAGGGUCUCUUCUCCACCAAAUCCGACGUUUUCAGCUUUGGCGUCUUGCUCCUGGAGAUCAUAAGUGGGAAGAGGACUGCAGGAUUCUACCAGUAUGGAAAAUUCUUCAAUCUCACAGGAUACGCUUACCAGUUGUGGCAAGAGGCGAAAUGGCACGAGAUGGUCGAUCAGGUACUCGGGGUCGACUACCCGGUGACGGAGGUGAUGAAGUGCGUCCAGGUGGCGUUGUUGUGCGUCCAGGACAGCGCCGACGAUCGACCCGGCAUGUCCGAUGUCGUCGCCAUGCUCAGCGGCGAGGGGCUCACGCUGCCGGAGCCCCGACAGCCGGCCUACUUCAACGUUAGGUUAUCAAGCUUACCAGAGUCAAAUAGUUCCUUUGGUGAAUCGUCGUACAUCAGCAACGUCGCCUUGACUGAUGAAGACGGCAGAUAA
RNAcentral lists this ribosomal RNA (2097 nucleotides) under Triticum aestivum (bread wheat). RNAcentral describes it as "partial small subunit ribosomal RNA". The record is from RNAcentral. Lineage: Eukaryota; Viridiplantae; Streptophyta; Magnoliopsida; Poales; Poaceae.